Molecule: ribosomal RNA, 468 nt
Filed under: uncultured bacterium
Lineage: Bacteria
Description: partial 16S ribosomal RNA
Rfam family: Bacterial small subunit ribosomal RNA
Source: RNAcentral
GACGAACGCUGGCGGCGUGCUUAACACAUGCAAGUCGAACGGAAAGGCCCUGCUUUUGUGGGGUGCUCGAGUGGCGAACGGGUGAGUAACACGUGAGUAACCUGCCCUUGACUUUGGGAUAACGUCAGGAAACUGGGGCUAAUACCGGAUAGGCGCUCCUGCUGAAUGGUGGGGGUUGGAAAGCUUCGGCGGGUGGGGAUGGACUCGCGGCUUAUCAGCUUGGUGGUGGGGUAGUGGCAUACCACGGCUUUGACGGGUAGCCGGCCUGAGAGGGUGACCGGCCACAUUGCGCCUGAGAUACGCACCAGACUGCUACGGGAGGCAGCAGUGGGGAAUAUUGCACAGUGGGCGGAAGCCUGAUGCAGAAACGCCGCGGGCGGGAUGUCGGCCUUCGGGUUGUAAACCGCUUUCGCCUGUGACGAAGCGUGAGUGACGGUAAUGGAUAAAGAGGCACCGGCUAACUACGUG